AUACGUAGGUGGCAAGCGUUGUCCGGAUUUACUGGGUGUAAAGGGCGUGUAGGCGGAGAUGCAAGUCAGGAGUGAAAUCUAGGGGCUCAACCCCUAAACUGCUUUUGAAACUGUAUCCCUUGAGUAUCGGAGAGGCAGGCGGAAUUCCUAGUGUAGCGGUGAAAUGCGUAUAGACUAGGAGGAACACCCAUGGCGAAGGAGUCCCACUGGACGACAACUGAAGCUGAGGCGCGAAAGCGUGAGGAGCAAACAGGAUUAGAUACCCUGGUAGUCCACGCUGUAAACGAUGUAUACUAGGGGUGUGGGGACUGACCCCCUCCGUGCCGCAGUUAACACAAUAAGUAGUCCACCUGGGGAGUACGAUCGCAAGAUGGAAACUCAAAUGAAUUUUCGGGG
This 396-nucleotide ribosomal RNA is filed under the name uncultured bacterium. Its description in RNAcentral is "partial 16S ribosomal RNA". It matches the Rfam family "Bacterial small subunit ribosomal RNA", at positions 523 to 918 of the family's 1533-position model. The record is from RNAcentral.